GCGUGCUGGAAGUCUCAUUCUUCUGUGUUCUAAGGAGAAUGCAUGUUCCUUCAGCGCUAUAAAAUAAGGAGAUUUCAGGGCCACCAGCCUUGGAGUAAAGGCUGAAUGGUAGUAUAUUUCUCCUACAUUA
Ahaetulla prasina is the source of this 130-nucleotide small nucleolar RNA. RefSeq annotates it as small nucleolar RNA U109. Lineage: Eukaryota; Metazoa; Chordata; Lepidosauria; Squamata; Colubridae. The transcript has a single exon. The record is from RefSeq and is a predicted model, not a curated record.